Molecule: long non-coding RNA, 1931 nt
Filed under: Olea europaea subsp. europaea
Lineage: Eukaryota; Viridiplantae; Streptophyta; Magnoliopsida; Lamiales; Oleaceae
Source: RNAcentral
CUUCGUUUAUUUUUUUUACCUUUAAUCUUGUUUCUUGUUGUGAUCUUUAUUACUUCACAUCGUCAUUAAAUCUUAUUCUUUACAAUCCUUUGGGAUCAACAAGUGGUAUUAGAACUUGGUUCUUCUUCUGUGGAUUGGUUGGGGUUUUUUUUAGAGAUGACUAUCAUGAGGUAUGACAUUCCCCUGUUGAAUCACAAUACAAGAUUUUCUUUGUGACAAAUAAAGAUAAGGACUAUUCUGAUGCAGUUGGAUUUGGAUGAUGCGCUGCUAGGUUUUGAGAAGAUGCCAGCUGAUUGAACAACGGAAGAGAAAUAUCGGAGGGAUCGGAAGGCUUUAUCACGGAUCCAUCUUCAUUUAUCCAAUAAUAUUCUGCAAGAUGUCUUAAAGGAGAAAACAUCGACUGCCUUGUGGUUGAAAUUGGAGCAGUUAUGCAUGACUAAAAGUCUCACGAGCAAACUGGUUCUAAAGUAGAAGCUAUAUUCUCAUUUCAUGAUGAAAGGAGGGUCAUUGGAGGACCAUAUUGUCGUGUUCAAGGAAAUAGUUGCAGAUUUGGAGACAUUGGAGGUUAAGUACAAUGAAGAAGAUUUGGCUUUGAUCCUGUUGCGUUCGUUGCCUGGGUCUUAUGCGUCGUUUCUGGUCACCAUUUUGUAUAGUCAGGAUACUUUGACUAUAAACGACGUCUAUGAUGUUUUGCACUCAAAGGAGAAGUUGAAGCAUUUGGUUGGAGUUACAUCGAGGGAUGAGAAAGCUCUUGUAUCUCAUGAUGGUCGACGGAGAGGCAGAUCGAAGAAUAACAACAAUUUGUUUUGCUUCUACUGCAGAUGUAUGGGACAUAUUCGGAAGGAUUGUGAUAAGUUGCAAGUUAAGGGUGAUUUAACUGCAAAUCGUGGAGCGCAACUUUUGACUUCAGACGAAACAAAUCGUGGUAUCUGACGUGAAAUCUAGACCUGACGAGAAGUGGAUUCUUGAUUCGACAUGUUCGCAUCAUAAGUGUUCCAAUCAAAAUUUCUUUCAGACAUAUGAUGCUGUUCAGCAAGGUGGAGUUGUAAUGGGAAACAACCAGUAUUGUUGUAUUGCUGGGAUAUGUCAAGUCAGAUUUAGGCUGCUGGAUGAGAUAGUCAGAAAAAUUGAUCAGGUUCGACAUGUUCCAAAACUGAAAAAGGAAUCUCAUCUCGCAUAGUACUCUGGAUGUAAAAAGAUAUAAAUUCUCUGGUGGAGGUGGUGUCUUGAAAGUCUGAAAGGGUGUCCUGGUUGUAUUAGAGACACAUAGAAUGUCUCAAUUGUAAAUCUUGUAGGGGAGCGUAGAAUCAGUUAAGAGAUAUAUGGGCAAGUUCGGUAUCGUGGUGGAUAUUCAGUUUGGUAUAGUACAUCUUGUGACGGGCUCUGGGUUGGUUCAGAACUUGCUCGAGGAAGCAUUGGUGAUUCUGCUUUGCCAUCAAUUUCAGCAGUUGCACUGUGUUUAGUUGUUUGGAUUGGAUCCAUUGAGUGUAGAAACCGUGGUGUCAAUGAUGUCUGUAUUGCUUUUGGGGACUUUAAAUGCGACAGUUCUAGCGAAGGGUUUUCUAUUCAGACAUUUUGUACGGUUUCUGUUACUUCGACCCUGUUUGGUAAACAUUAAUUCCUUGGUGGAAUUUUGGGAACUCGGGAGUAGGGUUCAGGUGUCGCUUAUGGACGCCGUGCAAAGGACGAUGAUUUAUAUGGAGAGUUUUGGUUAUUGCGUUGAGGAGAUUUGCCAUUUCAUUUCCAUGCAAAUGGGUUUAUUUUUUAGGUAGAGAAAUUUUGUGGAGCCCCGCUCGUUGUACCAAAAUUUGAGUUAAAGUGGAGAUUGUUAGAGUUGUGAUUCAAACAAGAGUCUUGAAUCACGUGUUGUUGGUGUUAGAAAUGAGUCUAACUGCAUUCAACUACAAGGAAACAAAAUCUCUUUAAAAUUG